This 835-nucleotide ribosomal RNA is filed under the name Staphylococcus aureus. Its description in RNAcentral is "partial 23S ribosomal RNA". It matches the Rfam family "Bacterial large subunit ribosomal RNA", at positions 1936 to 2770 of the family's 2925-position model. Lineage: Bacteria; Bacillati; Bacillota; Bacilli; Caryophanales; Staphylococcaceae. The record is from RNAcentral.
GUAACUAUAACGGUCCUAAGGUAGCGAAAUUCCUUGUCGGGUAAGUUCCGACCCGCACGAAAGGCGUAACGAUUUGGGCACUGUCUCAACGAGAGACUCGGUGAAAUCAUAGUACCUGUGAAGAUGCAGGUUACCCGCGACAGGACGGAAAGACCCCGUGGAGCUUUACUGUAGCCUGAUAUUGAAAUUCGGCACAGCUUGUACAGGAUAGGUAGGAGCCUUUGAAACGUGAGCGCUAGCUUACGUGGAGGCGCUGGUGGGAUACUACCCUAGCUGUGUUGGCUUUCUAACCCGCACCACUUAUCGUGGUGGGAGACAGUGUCAGGCGGGCAGUUUGACUGGGGCGGUCGCCUCCUAAAAGGUAACGGAGGCGCUCAAAGGUUCCCUCAGAAUGGUUGGAAAUCAUUCAUAGAGUGUAAAGGCAUAAGGGAGCUUGACUGCGAGACCUACAAGUCGAGCAGGGUCGAAAGACGGACUUAGUGAUCCGGUGGUUCCGCAUGGAAGGGCCAUCGCUCAACGGAUAAAAGCUACCCCGGGGAUAACAGGCUUAUCUCCCCCAAGAGUUCACAUCGACGGGGAGGUUUGGCACCUCGAUGUCGGCUCAUCGCAUCCUGGGGCUGUAGUCGGUCCCAAGGGUUGGGCUGUUCGCCCAUUAAAGCGGUACGCGAGCUGGGUUCAGAACGUCGUGAGACAGUUCGGUCCCUAUCCGUCGUGGGCGUAGGAAAUUUGAGAGGAGCUGUCCUUAGUACGAGAGGACCGGGAUGGACAUACCUCUGGUGUACCAGUUGUCGUGCCAACGGCAUAGCUGGGUAGCUAUGUGUGGACGGGAUAAGUG